This 253-nucleotide ribosomal RNA is filed under the name uncultured bacterium. Its description in RNAcentral is "partial 16S ribosomal RNA". It matches the Rfam family "Bacterial small subunit ribosomal RNA", at positions 524 to 776 of the family's 1533-position model. The record is from RNAcentral.
UACAGAGGGUGCAAGCGUUAAUCGGAAUUAUUGGGCGUAAAGGGCGUGUAGGUGGAUAAUUAAGUUGGAUGUGAAAUAAGUGAGCUUAACUUGCAUAUGUCAUUCAAUACUGAUUGUCUAGAGUACAGUAGAGGGUAGUGGAAUUUCCGGUGUAGCGGUGAAAUGCGUAGAGAUCGGAAAGAACACCGGUGGCGAAGGCGGCUACCUGGACUGAUACUGACACUGAGGCGCGAAAGCGUGGGUAGCGAACAGG